CCCGUGCUCCCGGGCCCCCCACGAUCCCGCAGACGGGGUGUCCCCGAGGACUGGGAGAGGACGGAGACGGCGGGGAUGGGAAGAAGAGUCGGAGGCACAGGAAGUACUCAACAAACCCUAGCAGAAUCAACAAGAGUUCCAGCAUGCAGCUGACCACUCCCUAUACCAAAGGCUGUUUCUGAAGUGGCACCAAGUUUGUUAGAGAAGGAGCAGAGCUACAAGUCCCGGAGCCAGACCACAGAGGCAGACAGGUUCCUCCGAACUGGGUUGUGCCGGGAAGGCAGCUGCUGUUUACCCUGCCUGUCACAGACACAGCUACUGCUCUAUGUCAGCUGUCAGCCACAGAACAGGUCUCCACACACAGAAAAACAAGGAUGACCUCUGUUGCAGAAAAAGCAAAACACAGUAGUGUUGGGGAGCUUUACAGUAAGUUCUCUUGCAGAAAGGCAAGCUAUAGAACAAAGGUGAUGGACAUGGUGAAACAGCCAAUCAAACAGCUCUGUGUACAGGUUACUUACCUCUUAUGACCGUUUGACCCCUUUCUCAGUUCUGUCCAAUCUAAAUCUUGACUUUGAAUACAAAGGCCAGGACUGUUCCUAUUUCCCAGCACAAUAAACACCACAGCCAUAGUUCUUAUCGCUAGCUCUCAUCUACACCUGAUAAUUAUCUCACCUGUCUCCAAUUGCUGACUACUAAGCGCUAACCUGAUUAAUCACCACAGCACAUAUUUAUUGAGGACCAAACUUUAAUAUUUCAAGGGCACCCCAAAUGAGUUACUGGUGGGGUUACAUAACCUUUCAUUCAUGCCACCAAACCAAGAUUCAUGAAUUCUGAAAGUUAAAGUUGAUUACCUCUUUGGAUACAUAAAAAAUAUAUAUAUUAAAGCAUGUCACACAGUGCAAAAAAAAAAAAAAAAAAAAAAA
This 923-nucleotide long non-coding RNA is filed under the name Homo sapiens (human). Its description in RNAcentral is "HSALNT0290715". Lineage: Eukaryota; Metazoa; Chordata; Mammalia; Primates; Hominidae. The record is from RNAcentral.